Long non-coding RNA from Cicer arietinum (chickpea), 573 nucleotides. RefSeq lists it as uncharacterized. The record is from RefSeq and is a predicted model, not a curated record. NCBI's taxonomy places the organism in Eukaryota, Viridiplantae, Streptophyta, Magnoliopsida, Fabales, Fabaceae.
ACCUUUCAGCAAAAUUUUGUGCCUUCUCUUGAUUUGGUUGUUUGUAUGUUUUCAUUUUCUGAACCACAGGGAGCUCUUAGGGACCUAUCAAGGGCAGCAACCUUGCCGGUGGCACAUAAUUCUCCAUUAAACAAGAAUGAGAAUAAAAAUUCAGAGACCAAUCAGAUAGUGCUUAGAGAUGCUGCUGAAUCAUCAUCAUGAGAGACUUUCAUAUUUUGGUUGCUAAGGAGUGCAAUUCCAUGAAACAAGGGACAUAGGAGACAGUGCUUUCCCCUUGAUGAGAAAUUAUAAGAAGCCUAGUUAUGCGCUUUUUUUGUGGCAAAUAUGUUUAAAUGAGCAUUCUGUAUUUGAUUUAUAUAUAGUUCUUCCUGAGAUUUUGAUUGAGUAGCCAAACUAAGCACUCAGGUAUAGUUUUAAAUGCAUUGUGCAGCGGCUGCCGUUGAUCUGGAUCUCACCGUACGACACCAUUUUCGUUUACUUGGUAUAGUUUUUAUAUGCAUUGAGCAACGGUUGCAGGUUGCAGAUAAGCCAGAUCCAUAUUAUAUUGAGUGCAGUACAGUUAUAUUUUGAGAA